Molecule: unclassified non-coding RNA, 207 nt
Filed under: uncultured fungus
Lineage: Eukaryota; Fungi
Description: partial contains 18S rRNA, ITS1, 5.8S rRNA, ITS2 and 28S rRNA
Source: RNAcentral
AGGGAUCAUUACACAAUAUGAAAGCGGGCUGGCAUCCUUCGGGGUUACAGCCUUGCUGAAUUAUUCACCCGUGUCUUUUGCGUACUUCUUGUUUCCUUGGUGGGUUCGCCCACCAUAGGACAAACCAUAAACCUUUUGUAAUUGCAAUCAGCGUCAGAAAAAAAAAAUUAAUAAUUACAACUUUUAACAACGGAUCUCUUGGUUCUG